This 253-nucleotide ribosomal RNA is filed under the name uncultured bacterium. Its description in RNAcentral is "partial 16S ribosomal RNA". It matches the Rfam family "Bacterial small subunit ribosomal RNA", at positions 524 to 776 of the family's 1533-position model. The record is from RNAcentral.
UACAGAGACUGCAAGCGUUAUUCGGAUUCACUGGGCGUAAAGGGUGCGCAGGCGGCCAUGUGUGUUGGGCGUGAAAGCCCGGGGCUUAACCCCGGAAUUGCACCCAAAACUACAUGGCUAGAGCAUUGGAGAGGGUAGCAGAAUUCAUGGUGUAGCAGUGAAAUGCGCAGAUAUCAGGAAGAACACCCGUGGCGAAGGCGGCUCUCUGGGACGGUACUGACGCUGAGACGCGAAAGCGUGGGGAGCGAACAGG